AACUCUUAGCGGUGGAUCACUCGGCUCGUGCGUCGAUGAAGAACGCAGCUAGCUGCGAGAACUAAUGUGAAUUGCAGGACACAUUGAUCAUCGACACUUCGAACGCCUAAGCGCCUAAGCGACCGCAGCCGGCCCUCAGCAUCCCGAGGGUUA
Molecule: ribosomal RNA, 153 nt
Filed under: Neogobius melanostomus (round goby)
Lineage: Eukaryota; Metazoa; Chordata; Actinopteri; Gobiiformes; Gobiidae
Description: 5.8S ribosomal RNA (ENSNMLG00000005401.1)
Rfam family: 5.8S ribosomal RNA
About the family: 5.8S ribosomal RNA (5.8S rRNA) is a component of the large subunit of the eukaryotic ribosome. It is transcribed by RNA polymerase I as part of the 45S precursor that also contains 18S and 28S rRNA.
Source: RNAcentral